CGGCUCGCCGUCUCAGUCCCGUGAUCUCGUUCCUGACCUUUUCGAUGUUCAGUAGGCUGGUCCCUGGAGCUAAGGCUGGGGAAAAAGCAAACGAUUUAUGAGACGAAUGUAAUAAGCUUAGAUGAAGUCAAUGUGAGACCAGGCUAUCAAAGAAAACUAGUGUCUGUUUUGAGCGAGAAGGCGUAAAACUGGGCAACCUUGAAGCCGCUAGAAACUGAACAAAGACUGGGUUGGCCGAAAUACAGCUCUGAAGCCUCAUAAAAUUCAAAAAAGAAUUACUCCUCUUACGCGGAUACAGUCAGUUUUUUCCACCGAAGGAAUUGCUGCGGCACAUUACUGUUCCUUGUGUUGAGAAUAUGCUGUAAGAGCUGUGUCGAGAUACCAGUUUUUAUAUUCUUGUACCUUCGACUGCUGCAGAACUCCCCAAGCAAGAAGUUCUUCCACAGUGUCCCCAAAUUGUGGAAGAGGCUCGCUCGCUUCUGAGGAAACGUUAGGGAACAAGAAAUGGGAUGGCGAAUCUGGACUCAAAAGUCUUGCUGUCCCAGAUCCAGCAGGGCACUACAUUCAUUACUGGAGUAGAGAAGCACAGCAAUUAUUUGUUGUACAGAAAGGCUGUCGGUGUCAUCCAUUUUGCUUAAGUAAUCCCCAUUACAAGUGUUUAUUUCUUGUACUUACCCUCAAGUAUGUACAAAUGCAAAUAUCUACCCUGUAUUACAAUAAUCUUUCCACUUUCUACAAACUCUUACAAAUUAUUUGAUUGCCAUUUCAAAUAAGAAACCCAUAGUUUCAGCAAAGGAUAAAAAUUAGUAAUAUUAAAACUAUUCCUUAUAAUCCUUGGGGUUUUCUUCUUCACAAUCUACUGUAUGUCAAUGGGCCCACCAAGUUACCAGUCCCAGUUAAAAUUCUCUUCCUCACCAAGGUUUAUAAACACCCCAAUUCAUGUCUUCCUUAGAUUGGUACUGAAAGGACCUGGUUUUCUACACCCCUCUGGAUUAUGCAUAUAACCAAAACUCUGGGCAAAAUUACCACGUGCCAAUAGCUAGGGCGUGGGGGUUUUUUAAGUACAUUGUCCAUAAUCUGAAUUUGUUAGUUGUAUGUGCUCUCUUAUGUUUUCUCCACUUAGCCAACUCUAGAUUGUAAAUUUCCCAAGCGCAGAGAUGAUGUGGAUUUCUUACCAAUCCCCUAGCACUGCUAAAGACAGUAUUAACCAAUACAUCAAUUAAUUACAUUGGGUGACAGAUCUAAGAAGCUUAUGACCCUGUCCAAAAAGAGCCAUGAGGCCAGGCGCAGUGGCUCACGCCUGUAAUCCCAGUACUUUGGGAGGCCGAGGCGGGCGGAUCAUGAGGUCAGGAGAUCCAGACCAUCUUGGCUAAAGCCGUGAAACCCUGUCUCUACUAAAAAUACAAAAAAUAAGGCGGGCGUGGUGGCGGGCGCCUGUAGUCCCAGCUACUCAGGAGGUUGAGGCAGGAGAAUGGCGUGAACCCAGAAGGUGGAGCUUGCAGUGAGCCAAGAUCGCUCCACUGCACUCCAGCCUGGGCGACAGAGUGAGACUUCAUAUCAAAAAAAAAAAAAAAGCCAUGAAUUCACAUUAAAUAGAUCCUAAAGUAGACAUAGAUUCUUGUAUGCAUGUUAUUCAGUACAAUUUCCCCCUUUACUGGAUCAUUCCAUCUAUUAACACAUUCCCAAAUUAAAAACAAACGAACAAACUCCUUUGAUUACCGUUACCAUCCUAUAGAUUUCUUUAUACUUGUCUCUCCUUCUCCUCCUCCUAAUCUUUUUUUGAUCCCAUUUUGGGCAGGCUUUUACUGCUCUUGUUUAGAAUCACCAAUAGCUUCCAGGUUGCUAAAUAAACUGUCAAUCUCAAUUUUCACCUUCUCCAUCUAUUAGCAGCAUUUAACAUAGUUAAUCCGUCCCUCACCAUAUACUUUUACUUUUUAAUUUGGAGGUAAACCAUACAUGUAAGAAAGAAUAUGAUAGUUUGAAGCAUGGUCUUAAAGUGGCUUCCAUAGUACUCCUUCGGUGGUUCUCCUAUUUUAGUGGCUGCUCCUUUUACUUUCCUUUCCUGGAUCCUUAUCCUCUUAAACCUCUAAAAUUUCAGUUUCUCACCUUUUUUCUACAUUCAUCCAUUUUGUGAUUUCAUCUAACAUUGAACUACUACUCCCACUUCCUGUAGAUUGUAUGAAGAAAGAAUUGUUUUAGGAAAGAAAAACUAUUCAUGUGCUGACAACUCUCACUUAUCUCUCGCCUGGCCUUUCCCAUUAACUUGAGACAUCUCCACCUAGAUGGCUAAUGCGCAUCUCAAACUUACAAACAAAACUGAAUUCUACUUUCCACUCCUUAUUCCCCAACUUUCUCCUCUGCAAUUUUCCUUAUUUCAAGCCUUAAACUUUGUUUUCUAUCAUACUCUAUAAACCAAUUUAUUAAAAAUUUCUAUUGGCUGCACCUUCAAAAUAUAAUCUGAAUUGAACCACUUCUCAUUAUCUCCAACAGUACUACUACUGUUGGCCAAGCCAUCAUCAUCUCUUGUUCAGAUUAUGUCAAAAGCCUUUUUAACGGGUUUCCCUGUUUCCACUCUUCCACUAUCUUCCACACAGCAAUGAUUCUUUUAAGAACUUAAGCUGGAUCAUAUGACUCUGCUCUAAACUCGGUUGUGUUUACUCAUGUAUCCCUGGCAUCUAGAAUAGUAAUUGGCACAUAGAAAAUGCUCAAUAUACAUUGGUUAAAUGAAUGAACUGUAUCCUGCACAAAAGAAUGGACUAUUGAGUAUAAAAAUUCAAAACAUCUGUCUUAGUACUUGUGCUCCCUCCAAAUGUUUUCAGUCCCAGGGUUCCUCAUUCAUUAUCUUCUUGCUCCUUUUCUGUAAGUUGUGAUUAUCCUGACAUACAAAUGACUGAAAUUUGCCUGCGUACCUAACAAACUUUAUUGCAUCUUCCCAGGCACACCAGAAACAUUACCACAUUUUAAAAUUCAUCCUCUGAACCAGAAGUUACUUUCAAAGUAGAAUGCUUUCCAAAACAUCAGUUUGGGGUUCUUUUAUCCUUGCUCUUUUGUAAUGUUAGAAAAUUAGAAAAUGGUUCUUUCGGAAAAUACUUACUCCGGAGGGUUUUGUAACAGUAUAACAAAAUUGGCAGGGGGAAUAUGUGGGAAAUAUCUGGGAAACCUGAGGUAGGUAAUGGUUUAAGUCUCGUCAGUAAGAUGGACAUCAGAUGCGAAAGUACUAAGUGAAAAUAUCUCAUAAUUACUGAUGCAAAGUUACCAGAGGACAGUUACCCAAUCUUUUUUUUCCUUUUUUUCCUUGUCUGCUUUUUAGCAGACAAGAUAACCCUGACUUUGAUCCUGCCUAUAGAAUCGAUAAGUAACAAAAACAGAGGGAAGCCAGAAUAGUUUUGUGUGAUUUGGUUGUGUGUGUGUGCGUACACACAUCUGUUAAUUCUAGAGCCAUGCUUAACCAACUUCCAAUUUUAUAAAAAUAUAGAACAGUUUCAUGUGAACUUUAAUGUUACAAACUACUGGUUAGGUAAAAGAUAACAUUUCAAUAUAAUUCCAUACUUUAUCAUAUUCUGAGUCACUUUUGGACAUCAGGAAACAGUUGCUAUCUUAGUUGCUGUAUUAGUUUAUUAUUAAAUACUUUAAUUGCAAGCCUCAGUCUUUUCAUCAUUAAACUUUAGUUAGACUAACUCCUAAUGAUCUUUUUCUCUGACUCUAAAGUCCUUAUGAUAAACAAUUUCAUAAAACAUAUGAAUGAGGACUAAUCUCUGAUUUUUUUUUUUAUCUUGCCCAAAUUCAUAUCUAAAGGGUCUGGGGAGUCCUGCCCUACAAACCACAAAUUCUCAUCAGAUGGGUUUUAUUUAACCCUGUAUAUUAUGACUUACUUUCCCAUGUGACUCUGGCAUAAGGAGGAAGAAAAUCAAAAUGUUUUACCCCAAAACAUGUCUCUCUGCCAUAUCUUGAAAUUGCCCUACAAAGUUUCUUGUGGGAAAAAUCCGCAUUCUAUAGAGAAUCUCCUUUCCCCUUUCCAGAUCCAGGAGAUAAUCAACUAAGAGCCAGGCACUCUUUUAAGUCUGAUAAGACACAUUUUAUAACCUGCUCUCUCUGCAGUCCGCUGAGAGUUUCCUCCGCACAAUAAAACUUAGUCUCCACAUCCUUUAUCUUAACCUAAACAUUUCUUUUCUAUUGAUCCCAGAUCUUCAGAUAAACUCAAUCAGUUGUCAACCAGAAAAUGUUUAAAUUUACCUAUAGCCUGGAAGUCCCCCGCUUUGAGUUGUCCCGCCUUUCUGAACCAAACCAAUGUAUUUCUUAAAUGUAUUUGAUUGAUGUCUCAUGCCUCCCAAAAAUAUAUAAAACCAAGCUGUAUCCCAACCACCUUGGGCACAUGUUCCCAGGAUCUCCUGAGGGCUGUGUCACUCAUAUUUGGCUCAGAAUAAAUCUCUUAAAAUAUUUUAUAGAGUUUGACUCUUUUCAUCAACAUGAACAUGAGUCAUUCCCCAUUGAACAAUAAUUACCGGUUACCUACUAUGAAUGUAACACUUUGUAAUACACGCAAGGGAAUAUUGUUUUAAAGUCUCUGACCUUCUGGAGAAUAUAAUCUAAUUAGGAAUAUCAUACAUAACAGUAAAUUUGAUGCAGACAUAAAUGACUCUCCAGAUGACUGGUACAACAAAAGUUGUAUGGGAAAUUCAAAGAAACUAGUGGGCUAAGGUUGUAAAAAGACAGAAUUUUGGGCCGGGCACGGAUUAUAGCCUCACCCCUGUAAUCCCAGCACUUUGGGAGGCCGAGGCGGGCAGAUCACGAGGUCAAGAGAUCGAGACCAUCCUGGCCAACAUGGUGAAACCCCAUCUCUACUAAAAAUACAAAAAUUAGCCUGUAGUCCCAGCUACUCGGGAGGCUGAGGCAGGAGGAUCGCUUGAACCUGGGAGGCGGAGGUUGCAGUGAGCCAAGAUCACGCCACUGCACUCUGGCCUGGUGACAGAGUGAGACUCCGUCUCAAAAAACAAAAGACAAUUUUGGCAAGGUCUGGUAGAAUAAAUGGAGCAGAAAUUAAGUCAUUCCAGAUGUAGGACAAGAACAUGAUUAACAAUCUGAAUUUGGAAUCAAGCGUUGAUGUGCUGCAGAACUGCAAAAACAGAGGCCUAGAUGGAGUGAAAAGAGAAAAAAAAUAUAUUGUUGUUAAGAACUUGGAAGUCAGACAGAUCCUGAAUCUGCCAUUUAGUGGUAGUGACAUGACUGAACGUAAGAUACAUAAUCUAUUUAUACCUCAGUUUCUCUUGUCUUUAAAAUGGAGAUAACAGUAUUCAUCAUCAUUGGGUGGCUGUUAAAAUAACUCAAUAAAUAUUUACUAUUAUGGGAAGAAAGGUUGGGUAAGAAGAAAAAUCUAGGCAAAAGCUAUAACAUUUGCAAAGGCAAAGAAGACAGGGUGGCCAAAUGUCUUGGGGAAUUGCAAAUGGUUUGAUUUGCAGAACAAAUGAAGAAUGAGGUAACAGUGGAAGGCUGAUUUCAGUGAUGAAUUAAACAACUUGAAGGGCUACUUAGAGGUUCAAGUAGCAAACUGUUAAAAUCGGAGCCCUAUUUCAAGAUCGUUCUAGUAAUAAAAGGCUGGAUUGGGCAUGAGUUAUUAGGGUCAGAGAGUCUGUCAGAAAGCUCUCAUAGUAAUCCAAGGAGGAAGAAAAACCUAAACUAAAUCAUCAAGAGAGAUGUAGAUAAGGGGAGGGAUGAGAGACCCAACUAAAAGGAAGAACAUUCAAAAAUCAACACAAUACAGUGAUUAGGUUGGGCAGCUGGAGAAGAGAGCUAGGGUUUCUGGCUUACCUCAAGGUGGUUGGCUAUACCAUUCACAGUAAUGAGGAAUGUAAGAAAUCUCAGGUUGGUGUGAGAUUAUUCCUGUUUUGACCUUAUUAAACCCAGGCUUGUGUGGAAUGAUUGCUGCUUGGGCCUUACUAACUUAGGUUAAUUCAUUAUUAACCUUCAUUUCUCAAGAGAUUAAUAAUGAAAAAUCUAGAGCUCAAGACAGAUGUCAAGGCACAAGAAAAGAUAGAGAAGUCAGUCAGUGUUAAGACAAUGGAAUAAUAAGGUACUUAAGAUUGUUCAGGCAGAAUGUGUAACUUAAAGGCACAGAACAUAAUCUCAAAGAACUCCCAACAUUAAGGAAUAUACAAAGGAGACUAAGGAACAGAUAAGGGGAAAAAAAUCAGGAGUCAUUCACAGAAGCCACAUGCUAAAGAUGAAGUGGGAAGGAAAAUGCCUAUCAAAUGGAGCAAAAAGAUCAAUAUAAGGGUGAGUUCACUUGAUCUGACAGAAAAGAAUGGGAAUUGUUCAUUGAAUAUCUAUUUUUCUAUGCUUUGUGCUAAAUGCUUUUUAACUGUCACUUUCCUUAUUGCUCAAAACAAAAUCUGUCAAAUGGGUAUUGAAAUCCCUAUUUUACAGACAAGGAAAGGUAAAUGGCUUAGAAGAUUUAAGCAAUUGCAAGGUACAGCUUGUAAGUAUAGGAGCCGUAUCAGCCUACUCCUGAAACCCAUACUCUUUCUACUGAAUCUUUCAGACACAGGUGACAGUCAACAGAGUACAAACGAUGUAAUCUUGAGGUGAAAACCUGACCCUGACUGAAGCUGAAGAUGAUAAGAAAAUAUAAAGGACAUACUGUUUCACAAAAUUUGUUGUGAAAAGGAAAGACAACAUGCCCUGGGGUUAUUUUACACCACUGAUACAGCAAUUUGACAAAAAUUUAUAAAGCUAUUGUCUGCAAUUCUGUGCUUGAAACAAAGUGACAUAACAAGCUUGAAAGGGAUGUAAGGGGAGUUCAAUCUUUUUCCACAUUACCCUGGAUAGAAAAGCUUGUGAUAUACAAACAGACAAGCUCCUAUUAAUACCACUUAAAGUACAUAACAAGUUUAUCUUUUAAGAUUUUUUUAAAAACAUUAUAAAAUCACCAAAAGGUGAAGGGUAUAUUUGCUUCAAGGUGUUUCUGAUUUAAGAUAGUGGAUUGGCCCCAUGAGUUUGUCUCUCCUCCAUCCCACUAUAGUAAAAUGAAAGAAAUUUUUAAAAUAUGAGAAAAAUUAUUGAUAAGACUCAUCAUCUUAGAUGAAUCUCAGGGGCAUUAUGCUAAAGAAAAGAAGGCGUUUCAAAAGUUACAUAUGGCAUUUAUUCUAUUUAGAACUUUCUAGAAGAUAAAACUAUGGGGAUAGAAAACAAAUUGUGGAUUAUGAGUGGGGGGAAGGGAGAAUGACUACAAAGGGAUAGUAUAAGGAGUUAUUUGGGGAGUGAUGGUACUUUUCUUUAUCUCUGGUGUUAAAACUCACAAAACUAUGCUACCAGAACAGAAGUAAAAUUUACCAUAUGAUAAUCUGAAAAACAAUUUUAAAAAAGAUAUGAGCCCAAAAUUUGAAUAGAGAGGAGGCAGCAACAGACAAAUGAUUUCAACAAAUUUGUGGAAAACUGAAAGCAGAUGGAAUAUGACUGAGCUGAACAGAGAAAGCUGCAAUCUAGAGGGACUACAAGGCGGAUACCAGAGGGAAGCAUGCUGAUUGAUUCCACAACCCCUGAGAAGCUCAGAUUUGGAGGUGAAAGUUACAGCAAAGAGUGGAGGCAGGGACAGGCCUGAAAAUGACUAGUUGAAAGCAUAUACAACAGAAUGGCCUGAUCCCCAAAGUCCUCUGCCCUACCCCUUAGCCAUAAAAAUAUGAUCUCUCACUUCCAUCACUGUCUCUCACAGGUAGAACACCAGAGAAUUUUUAUCUGGAGAAAUAAAUGGGAGACAAUUAAGUGGAAGAAAUAUGGGGAGGGACAGAUACAAGGAAGUAUGUGUGAAGUGGAAAUCAGGAGGUGAGAUGGAGGACAAGGAAGAAGCACAGUUAAAAGCAGUAAGUAAGAGAACCUCCCUAGACCCCUUGAAGCACUGCCCACAAACACAGAGCUUUCAAAUAGUGUUUUGGAGUCUACUCAUAUAUUGCCAAGACUAGCCAGAAAUAACAGGAAAUUCGCCUAUAUGAACAAGAGAAAAAACAAAUUACAAAUAGCAACAAAUAAACUUUGGUGUUAAUAGAGCAGUAAACAAAAGUAGUAAUAUAUAUUCAUAUAUAUAUAUCCUCAGAAAAAUAAGAUAUCUAUAAACUAAGUAGGAUAUUUUGGAAACAAAAUAAAAUGAAAGAAGUUCUAGAAAUUAGAAUAUUUUUAGAAAUGUGCUACAAAUUCAAUACAAGGAAGAUAAUGUUGCAAGAAAGUUAUGUAAAUGUUUUAAAUAAGGCAAUUAUUAAUUCCAGGAAAAAUAAAAUUAUGCAAAAGAAAAUCAUAUUACAUUUGCCCUAGGGUAUAAAAUAUUUAUACAGUCAUACUUAAAUAACAGCUAAUGCAUUUACUAAAUAUUAUGAUAUAACUACAUAAUAGAAGGCAAAGUAUGUGUGUUAGAGAGCUAAAUCAUGUAACAUCAUGUAACAAUAAUGUCUAAAAUUGUUAUAUCAAGCAACAGAAUAGCCAUACUAUUUAGAUACACUAAGGUAAAAGAAGAAACAACUUUUGGAGUCACAGUGAUUGCCUCUGGGAGGGAAGGAAAGUUCAGGCAGGGACUACUAUUUUUUAUCAUAAAGCCUUUAGAACUUACUAUUUUAUUUUUUAAAACUGUGUACAUGUUACUUUGAUAAAUUUUAUAGAUAUACAAAAGGAAAUAAGGCCACCACGGUCU
This 8671-nucleotide long non-coding RNA is filed under the name Homo sapiens (human). RNAcentral's name for it is "HSALNT0335143". Lineage: Eukaryota; Metazoa; Chordata; Mammalia; Primates; Hominidae. The record is from RNAcentral.